RNAcentral lists this long non-coding RNA (547 nucleotides) under Apteryx rowi (Okarito brown kiwi). RNAcentral's name for it is "lncRNA (ENSARWG00000017716.1)". The record is from RNAcentral. Lineage: Eukaryota; Metazoa; Chordata; Aves; Apterygiformes; Apterygidae.
UCUGACACCCAGGGCAAGCGCCACGUGGGGAACCGGUUACUGCCUGCAGAACCACAAAGGCAGCCCCGCUCUUUCGUCUGCCCAAGGAGGCUGUGAAGUGCCAUCGUAGAGGCCUGGGUGACACCACAGCUCCGGGGACGGCUGGGAGGGGAGGAAGCACUGGCGGGCGAGCUGGCGUGGAGACUUGCCCUGGUGUAUGGUCAGCAUUUUGGAGCUUGAAUUGAUCCUCAGUGGAGUGUUUUCCUCGUUUUUUGUCUGUUGUAGCCUGUGCAGUGUACAGCUAACUGUCUGCUGCCAUGCUGCCUGUGAAAGAUGUAUUUUUGGAAGGGAGGCUGGGCUAAGGGGACAACUGAUGGGAGGGAGAAAACACUUGGCCUGUGCUGGGCUGAGGAUCUUGGAGAUGGGUGCAUUGGCCAAAGCUGGAGUUUGUCUUUAUGUAACUUCUAAGUGGAGAGAAGCAGGACUGAGAUGGUUUACAGGAAGUGUGGUUGGCCCGAACUCUUGUGGGUACCGAUGGCAGGAUGUGCCCCGUGAGGAUGCGGCCUGA